Non-coding RNA from Xyrichtys novacula (pearly razorfish), 1338 nucleotides. The record is from the annotation of a GenBank genome assembly. NCBI's taxonomy places the organism in Eukaryota, Metazoa, Chordata, Actinopteri, Labriformes, Labridae.
GACGCAGCACGUCAGUGACGCCGCAGCAGAGACCUGAGGGACAGAGCAGAGGAGGAACCGGAAAAGACGAGCGGUGAUUAAUUAACAGAAAAAGUCGUGAAAGAGUCGAUAAAACAGUUGAAAACCGUAACUUACCUGGUCGGGAUCUGACGGGGAUUUUAUGAGAACGAAGCGACGUCUGUUUUGAUGAGUUUUGUGUUUAUUUUCAUGCAUUUUCACCGUGUUGUACUUUUUUUCUCUGGCGGAGAGCUAACACUAAAACCGUAACUGUUUACAGAGAAAUACUCCGUCAUAAACUGUUAUCCAGUUUAUAUUUUGGGUUUAUGAAGACUGUGAAUGUUAUAAAAGUGUGUGUAAGCUGUGUAAAUAGAAGAUUUGUGCAGUAAUUAGUACGGGAGACGGAGCCGUGAGAUAAAUUAGACGUCCCGCUCCGCCGCCAUUUGAGUUGAAAAAACACCGUAGCAGUAACGUUACAACUCAGAGACUGUGAAGCAUUUAAUUUUGUAAUUUGAAGAUUUAAAAAGAGUUUUAUUGUGUUUUUGGCCUGUUACACAGGUCAGGUUUUUUUGCGCGGUUGGAAGCUCGGUCGGAGCGAGGACUGGUCCGCCAGACGGGAUUCAAGAUGGCGAUCCAGACCCAGACCUUCAACUCAUCUUCCCCAUCUCAUCGUGAGGGAAUCUCCUGCGUGUGGUGACUCCUUGCCACAGUGGUAGGCUAUCAGGAACUAGUUUGAACUGAACAGAACUGAGAACUGAUUGAAUUAUUAUUUUUGGACUGAAUCGAACUGAGACUUUUCAUUGAACUGAACACUUGAAUUCACAUUUGGACUUGAACUUAAAUUUGAAGUGUCAUACUUUUAUUUUUUAUUGAGUUUAUAUUUUUGAAUGUGAUUUGAAUAACUGUGGUCCACUUUGAUUUAUUUGUGAUUAAGGUUUUUUCUUACCUGUAAAAGAAGGGGGGAAGAAAAAAUAGGAAUCCUGAAAUAGAUACAACCUUGGAAAAAGAGACUGGUCUAAUUAAAUUAGAUUAGCUUUAGUAAAAUAAACUUGGUGAACUAAAGAACAAAAAAUACUUUUUUCAUUUAUACUUACCUCAUUAUUGAUAACCUGCAGGGUAUUUUUGGUUUCAUAUACUAUGUUUUAUAUGUGUGUUUAUAUAUUUAGUAAAUUGCCGGCCUUUUCUACUUAAAGCAACGGUCUCUGGUGUUAUUACUCUUGCUCCCCACUCCUUAGAGCCUAGAACUGGUCCAGUGGCGCAGUUAGUGGUGUGAUACUGGUGCUACAUAAAGGUGUUUUUUAUUGAGCCGAAUUAUCAAUAAAAUGAUGAUUUUGUUAACAG